Trichechus manatus latirostris (Florida manatee) is the source of this 124-nucleotide small nucleolar RNA. RefSeq annotates it as small nucleolar RNA SNORA48. The transcript has a single exon. The record is from RefSeq and is a predicted model, not a curated record. NCBI's taxonomy places the organism in Eukaryota, Metazoa, Chordata, Mammalia, Sirenia, Trichechidae.
GACCCCCUCCCUGACCUGAGUGGCACCUGGUUGGGGAUGCUCAUCUCAUAUCAUCCAGGAACAAAGUGUCUCUUUGUUUAUCCCAGCUUGGUUUUAGGUUCAUGCCUGGUUCAUGGACCCAUGG